Papaver somniferum (opium poppy) is the source of this 1583-nucleotide long non-coding RNA. RefSeq lists it as uncharacterized. The record is from RefSeq and is a predicted model, not a curated record. NCBI's taxonomy places the organism in Eukaryota, Viridiplantae, Streptophyta, Magnoliopsida, Ranunculales, Papaveraceae. The transcript is spliced from 3 exons.
AACACUCCGUCGCCUCCAUCGCUCACAUCACCACCAUCUUCAUCGCUCCCAUCACCACCACCAUCUGGAUUGCCUCCACCACAACCAGCACCACCACCUCCGUCACGUCCUCCAUUACUAUCAACAGAUCUAUCAAAUUGAUUUGGCUUGGUUUUGGUAGAUGGAAAAUGGAGUUUGCAGGUUACAAAGAAUCGAUCUAAGUUGAUCCCAAUUGAAAAAUUUUCUCAAUUAGAAGUUCUUCUUCUUCUCAAUCGAUACAACAAUCAACUCGAAUUUCAGAUCCAUUUGAUACAACAACAAUUAUUUUUGAUUGAACGGGAUCAGAAGAUGAUUUAUUCGCUGCUUAUUGAUAAUGAGAAAUCUGGAUCCAUAAUUGAAGCCUUGUACUGUAGGGAAAAUGCAGAGUGCGUAAGGAGCUAUUAAGAUACUUGUUUUUGAUGAAACUGCUCACAUGUUGGCUGAGGUAUUUAUAAUUUCCUCUAUAUUUUGCUAGACUGUAGAGAAAUUAGGGUAGUACGAGUCCUUUUUGGCCAACUAUGAGAACCUAAAUGUGCAUGAUGGAUUUAGGGAUGAUUCCACUAGGAUCAUGAGGGAUAUCAAAGCAAGUAGUGUAUAUUGCCAAGUAAGUAAUUGAACUUCAAAUACAUAAUAGCGAAGACAGAGAAAUUGUGUUGGAGUGUGACAAAUUACAUGAUAGCAGUGGUUCCCUAGUUCUUAUGUUAAUACUGGAGUUGUUUAGUAAUGCUAUUGAGGAGCAUUAAUUGAAACCUUCACGGCCUUUCUGUAUUUGAUUUCCUCAUAAUAGGUACUAGGGCGUUACUUUUCUUUUCUUUUUUCUAUACUCAAGUGAAUAGGCCAAUUUUCCUCGUGGGAGUUCAUUUUUCUUAUAACUUUUUUUCUAAUGCAUUGUCUAACAUUAUUUAUGGUGUUAAAAAAGUAGUGUUAACAUUAUUUAUGGGUGCUGACAACAUAGUUGUUGAUGGUAACUGUGAAGAUAACUUCUUAUUUUAUGCACACAAAAGACUUACAAAACAGGUAUGUGUAAUGACCCUUGUUUUCUACACGCAAAAGACUUACUACUGCAAAAUUUAUUUAGCAUAUAGCUGCAGUGAUGUUCCCCUCUAGUAACUGAAGUAGUUAUACUACAAACUUGUGGUGCAAUGGUAGCACAACUGACUCCAUGUCGGAAGAUGCGUGUUCGAUUCACGUCAGGUUCACUAAUUUAGUAAUUUUAGUACAUUAAUUUUUGGGAUCAAUUUUGGUUGUUGACAGUAAAUUUCGGGACCAACUUUGGUUGUUGACACCAUAUUUUGGGAUCAACUUUGGUUGUUGAAGCCAUAAAAAAUCUGAAAUUUUAAUUUUGGGAUCAACUUUGGUUGUUGACUGUAGAUUUCGGGAUCAACUUUGGUUGUUGACACAAUACAUAGUCUGAAUUUUUAAUUUUGGGGAUCCACUUCGGUUGUUGAUACCAUAUUUUAUUGUUCUGAUUUUUGUUUUGGGAUCAACUUUGGUUGUUGACACAAUUUUUUUUUUCUGAUUUUUGUUUUGGGUCAACUUUGGUUGUUGACACCAUCGAUGGUGGU